AAUCCAACUCUUAAUAGAGUCACAGUGUGGCAUUUACCAAUUUAGAAUAACAUUAUUAGUUGCAGAUUUUAAAAGUGUCCAUGUGACUUAGCUUGUAAUUUUGUUCCAUGUAUUUGAUGUCAAAUGCCUGAAACGUUUGGGUGCUCAAUCUCAAACACUUGGAGUGACAAUAUAUAUACACAAAGAUCUCAAAAAUUGAGCAAAAG
This 206-nucleotide unclassified non-coding RNA is filed under the name Hevea brasiliensis (rubber tree). The record is from RNAcentral. Lineage: Eukaryota; Viridiplantae; Streptophyta; Magnoliopsida; Malpighiales; Euphorbiaceae.